AGAGUUUGAUCCUGGCUCAGGAUGAACGCUAGCGGCGGGCUUAAUACAUGCAAGUCAAGGGGUAGCAAUACACCGGCGUACGGGUGCGUAAUGCGUAUGGAACCUGCCCUUAUCUGGGGGAUAACUCNGGGGAAACUCGAGCUAAUACCGCAUAAGAUAGUAGAAUGGCAUCAUUCAGCUAUUAAAGAUUUAUUGGAUAAGGAUGGCCAUGCGUAAGAUUAGAUAGUUGGCGAGGUAACGGCUCACCAAGUCUACGAUCUUUAGGGGCUCUGAGAGGAGAAUCCCCCACACUGGCACUGAGAUACGGGCCAGACUCCUACGGGAGGCAGCAGUAGGGAAUAUUGGGCAAUGGGCGGAAGCCUGACCCAGCCACGCCGCGUGCAGGAAGACGGACCUCUGGGUUGUAAACUGCUUUUAACUGGGAAGAAAAGAGGCCUUGCGAGGCAAGUUGACGGUACCAGGUGAAUAAGCCACGGGUAACUACGUGCC
This 489-nucleotide ribosomal RNA is filed under the name uncultured freshwater bacterium. RNAcentral describes it as "bacterial SSU rRNA". It matches the Rfam family "Bacterial small subunit ribosomal RNA", at positions 8 to 509 of the family's 1533-position model. The record is from RNAcentral.